CUCGUGUUAAUCAGCUCGAUUACACCCUGUGCCUUAUCGCGAGGACAGAGGGCUUUCUGUAUUCCGGGUUCCCAGGUGCUUGCCUUAGUGUACCGAUCGGAACACACAUGGGCUUGGAGGAUGGGCGCGAGGUUUUUUACUGGGUGGUGGAAGUAGCUCUCAGCAGGUGGAUGGGGAGCCAGAAGAGGGAUGGAGUAGGAAGCUGGUCUUCCCUGGAGUCCGGCCGCUCAGCGGCCGGGCUCUCCUCUGACCACCCUUGGCCAAAUUCCACGUCAUCCACAUCGUUCUGCUGUCAAUGGUCGGCCAGCGUCUCUGGGCCCCAACAGGUCAAGUAGAGAAAUCCAGGAAGAAAAGACAAAUGCAAGCAUGCUGUCUUUAAAAUGCAUCACAGACUGUUUUCUUUCAGUGAAUGGAAGAGUUUGACAGAGCAACAACUUUAUCUUCUCCAGUCAGAUCCUCCUCCAGCAGGUGCCCAUUUGGCAAAACUCCUCCUUUGUCACCUCUUUGUCUUUGCUGGCCGCUGCUCCAUCUGGAGACAGCACACCUCUUCUUAAUGGCUUCGGAAGGAAUUCUAUCUGCUCUUAGAUCAUGAACUCCCAGAACAUUCUGCUGUCCACCCCAGUCCUCUAAACCCACACUGAUAUCUCCUUUCUCUGAAUCUUUUUAGGAUUUACAAUUUAUACCACAUGAUUGAGCCCUAUACAAGAUAACCUAUCUUGUAUUGUUCUCUAAUCUUUAUGUCAUUAAGUGUCUUAGUAAAAACAGCAUAUGUAUAUACAAGAAUCACUUCAUAUUUUUUUCUCUGUCCUGCAUAGCUC
This 818-nucleotide long non-coding RNA is filed under the name Homo sapiens (human). Its description in RNAcentral is "HSALNT0021790". The record is from RNAcentral. Lineage: Eukaryota; Metazoa; Chordata; Mammalia; Primates; Hominidae.